AACAACAACAACAACAACAACAACAACAACAACAAAAAAACACUCACGAUUUUGUUGUUUGAUGCAGGAAUUGGAAUAUAAGCUACCUGAAACUCCUACCUGGAGCAGUCAGGCAUCUUCAGGCUCAAACAUUUCUCCAUUACAUUGAAGGAGUUCUCCCCUGACAGCUUUAUGAUUGCUGUGGACCACACCACUGGGAAAGAUGUUGUCACAAAUUGUGGGGAUGCCCUUCUAAUGAUGUUUGUGACCUACUCCUGCCUCAACAUAAGCUAUCCAGUGGAACAUGGUGCAACUCUGGAGAUCAUGCAGAGGUGCCUUUUCAAGAUAAAUCUGGACAGGGGGACCAAGGUG
This is a long non-coding RNA of Cyprinus carpio carpio, 351 nucleotides long. The record is from Ensembl. NCBI's taxonomy places the organism in Eukaryota, Metazoa, Chordata, Actinopteri, Cypriniformes, Cyprinidae.